AUGCAAGUCGACGGGCUCUUCGGAGCAAGUGGCGGACGGGUGAGUAACGCGUGAGAAUGUGCCUUCAGGAUGGGGAUAACAACAGGAAACUAAUGCUAAGACCCAAUGUGCCUUAAGUGGUGAAAAAUGAAAAUUGCCUGAAGAGGAGCUCGCGUCUGAUUAGCUAGUUGGGGUGGUAAAAGCGCACCAAGGCAACGAUCAGUAGCUGGUCUGAGAGGAUGAGCAGCCACACUGGGACUGAGACACGGCCCAGACUCCUACGGGAGGCAGCAGUGGGGAAUUUUCCGCAAUGGGCGAAAGCCUGACGGAGCAAUACCGCGUGAGGGAGGAAGGCUCUUGGGUUGUAAACCUCAAAACUUAGGGAAGAAAAAAAUGACGGUACCUAAUUUAAGCAUCGGCUAACUCCGUG
This 409-nucleotide ribosomal RNA is filed under the name uncultured bacterium. Its description in RNAcentral is "bacterial SSU rRNA". It matches the Rfam family "Bacterial small subunit ribosomal RNA", at positions 55 to 507 of the family's 1533-position model. The record is from RNAcentral.